This 484-nucleotide ribosomal RNA is filed under the name uncultured bacterium. RNAcentral's name for it is "bacterial SSU rRNA". It matches the Rfam family "Bacterial small subunit ribosomal RNA", at positions 32 to 524 of the family's 1533-position model. The record is from RNAcentral.
AAUCAACGCUGGCGGCGUGCCUCAGACAUGCAAGUCGAACGAUUAAAGCUCUCUUCGGAGAGUGCAUAAAGUGGCGCACGGGUGAGUAACACGUAAGUAACCUACCUUCGAGUGGGGAAUAACGUCCGGAAACGGACGCUAAUACCGCAUAACGCAGCGGCAUCGCAAGAUGACAGUUGUUAAAGAUUUAUCGCUUGAAGAGGAGCUUGCGGCAGAUUAGCUUGUUGGUAAGGUAACGGCUUACCAAGGCUACGAUCUGUAUCCGGUCUAAGAGGACGGUCGGACACACUGACACUGAAUAACGGGUCAGACUCCUACGGGAGCAGCAGUCGGGAAUUUUGGGCAAUGGGGGAAACCCUGACCCAGCAACGCCGCGUGAAGGAUGAAGUAUUUCGGUAAUGUAAACUUCGAAAAGAAUAGGAAGAAUUAAUGACGGUACUAUUUAUAAGGUCCGGCUAACUACGUGCCAGCCCGCCGCCGUAAG